This 460-nucleotide ribosomal RNA is filed under the name uncultured bacterium. RNAcentral describes it as "partial 16S ribosomal RNA". It matches the Rfam family "Bacterial small subunit ribosomal RNA", at positions 338 to 795 of the family's 1533-position model. The record is from RNAcentral.
CCUACGGGAGGCAGCAGUGAGGAAUCUUGGUCAAUGGACGAGAGUCUGAACCAGCCAAGUAGCGUGAAGGCUGACUGCCCUAUGGGUUGUAAACUUCUUUUAUAUGGGAAUAAAACCGGGUAUGAAUACCCUCUUGUAUGUACCAUGUGAAUAAGGAUCGGCUAACUCCGUGACAACAGCCGCGGUAAUACGGAGGAUCCGAGCGUUAUACGGAGUUCUUGGGUUUAAGUGGAUAGUAGGGUGAUAUUUAAGUCAGUUGUUAAAGUUGGCGGAGCAACCGUAAAAUUGCAGUUGAAACUGGCAGUCUUGAGUGCAGUAGAGGUGUGCGGAAUUCGUGGUGUAGCGGUGAAAUGCGUAGAUAUCACGAAGAACUCCGAGUGCGAAGGCAGCUCACUGGACUGCAACUGACACUGAUGCUCGAAAGUGUGGGUAUCAAACAGGAUUAGAUACCCUAGUAGUC